This 465-nucleotide ribosomal RNA is filed under the name Vreelandella stevensii. RNAcentral describes it as "partial 16S ribosomal RNA". It matches the Rfam family "Bacterial small subunit ribosomal RNA", at positions 338 to 795 of the family's 1533-position model. The record is from RNAcentral. Lineage: Bacteria; Pseudomonadati; Pseudomonadota; Gammaproteobacteria; Oceanospirillales; Halomonadaceae.
CCUACGGGCGGCAGCAGUGGGGAAUAUUGGACAAUGGGCGAAAGCCUGAUCCAGCCAUGCCGCGUGUGUGAAGAAGGCCUUCGGGUUGUAAAGCACUUUCAGUGGGGAAGAAAGCCUUGGGGCUAAUACCCUCGAGGAAGGACAUCACCCACAGAAGAAGCACCGGCUAACUCCGUGCCAGCAGCCGCGGUAAUACGGAGGGUGCGAGCGUUAAUCGGAAUUACUGGGCGUAAAGCGCGCGUAGGCGGUCUGAUAAGCCGGUUGUGAAAGCCCCGGGCUCAACCUGGGAACGGCAUCCGGAACUGUCAGGCUAGAGUGCAGGAGAGGAAGGUAGAAUUCCCGGUGUAGCGGUGAAAUGCGUAGAGAUCGGGAGGAAUACCAGGGGCGAAGGCGGCCUUCUGGACUGACACUGACGCUGAGGUGCGAAAGCGUGGGUAGCAAACAGGAUUAGAUACCCCGGUAGUC